ACGGGUGUGGCGAAAUUGGUAGAUGCCCAGAUUUAAGUUCUGGCGCCGCAAGGUUGUGAGUUCAAGCCUCUUCAUCCGUACCA
RNAcentral lists this transfer RNA (83 nucleotides) under Gilliamella apicola. Its description in RNAcentral is "tRNA-Leu". It matches the Rfam family "tRNA". Rfam says of the family: Transfer RNA (tRNA) molecules are approximately 80 nucleotides in length. Their secondary structure includes four short double-helical elements and three loops (D, anti-codon, and T loops). Further hydrogen bonds mediate the characteristic L-shaped molecular structure. tRNAs have two regions of fundamental functional importance: the anti-codon, which is responsible for specific mRNA codon recognition, and the 3' end, to which the tRNAs corresponding amino acid is attached (by aminoacyl-tRNA synthetases). tRNAs cope with the degeneracy of the genetic code in two manners: having more than one tRNA (with a specific anti-codon) for a particular amino acid; and 'wobble' base-pairing, i.e. permitting non-standard base-pairing at the 3rd anti-codon position. The record is from RNAcentral. Lineage: Bacteria; Pseudomonadati; Pseudomonadota; Gammaproteobacteria; Orbales; Orbaceae. RNAcentral also lists the same sequence under 5 other names.